GUGUGUCGUCGUCGGCGAGUCCUACGAGAGUAGUUGAUCUGGCUCAGGAUGAACGCUGGCGGCGUGCCUAAUACAUGCAAGUGAAACGGGUAUCUUCGGAUACCAGUCGCGGACGGGUGAGUAAUACAUAGGCAACCUGCCUUUAUGAGGGGGAUAACCGAGGGAAACUUUGGCUAAUACCGCAUGAAGACUCUAAGGCAUCUUAGAGGGAUAAAAGUUGGGAAACAACGCAUGAAGAUGGGCUUAUGGCGCAUUAGCUAGUUGGUGAGAUAGAAGCCCACCAAGGUAAUGAUGCGUAGCCGACCUGAGAGGGUGAACGGCCACAUUGGGACUGAGACACGGCCCAAACUCCUACGGGAGGCAGCAGUAGGGAAUUUUCGGCAAUGGGGGGAACCCUGACCGAGCAACGCCGCCGUGAAGGAAGAAGGUUUUCGGAUUGUAAACUUCUGUUAUAAGGGAAGAACGGAUUGGAUAGGGAAUGAUCUGAUAGUGACGGUACCUUAUUAGAAAGCCACGGCUAACUACGUGCCAGCCGCUGC
RNAcentral lists this ribosomal RNA (539 nucleotides) under uncultured bacterium. RNAcentral's name for it is "bacterial SSU rRNA". It matches the Rfam family "Bacterial small subunit ribosomal RNA", at positions 1 to 518 of the family's 1533-position model. The record is from RNAcentral.